This 450-nucleotide ribosomal RNA is filed under the name uncultured bacterium. RNAcentral's name for it is "partial 16S ribosomal RNA". It matches the Rfam family "Bacterial small subunit ribosomal RNA", at positions 354 to 796 of the family's 1533-position model. The record is from RNAcentral.
GUGGGGAAUAUUGGACAAUGGGCGAAAGCCUGAUCCAGCCAUGCCGCGUGUGUGAAGAAGGUCUUCGGAUUGUAAAGCACUUUAAGUUGGGAGGAAGGGCAGUAAGUUAAUACCUUGCUGUUUUGACGUUACCGACAGAAUAAGCACCGGCUAACUUCGUGCCAGCAGCCGCGGUAAUACGAAGGGUGCAAGCGUUAAUCGGAAUUACUGGGCGUAAAGCGCGCGUAGGUGGUUGUGUAAGUUGGAGGUGAAAUCCCCGGGCUCAACCUGGGAACUGCCUCCAAAACUGCAUGACUAGAGUACGGUAGAGGGUAGUGGAAUUUCCUGUGUAGCGGUGAAAUGCGUAGAUAUAGGAAGGAACACCAGUGGCGAAGGCGACUACCUGGACUGAUACUGACACUGAGGUGCGAAAGCGUGGGGAGCAAACAGGAUUAGAAACCCGAGUAGUCC